GGGGCUUUGGUCUAGCGGUAGGAUUCGCGGGGGCUUUGGAGCUGWUAUCUUUCGUUACAGCGACAGAGCGGACAACUGUCCAGUACCACAACUGCGAGAGGCGGGUUCGAUUCCCGCAGGCUCCA
Ramularia collo-cygni is the source of this 125-nucleotide non-coding RNA. NCBI's taxonomy places the organism in Eukaryota, Fungi, Ascomycota, Dothideomycetes, Mycosphaerellales, Mycosphaerellaceae. The record is from the annotation of a RefSeq genome assembly.